RNAcentral lists this ribosomal RNA (482 nucleotides) under uncultured bacterium. RNAcentral describes it as "partial 16S ribosomal RNA". It matches the Rfam family "Bacterial small subunit ribosomal RNA", at positions 30 to 507 of the family's 1533-position model. The record is from RNAcentral.
AUUGAACGCUGGCGGCAUGCUUUACACAUGCAAGUCGAACGGUAACAGGCCGCCAGGUGCUGACGAGUGGCGAACGGGUGCGUAAUGCAUCGGAACGUGCCCAGUCGUGGGGGAUAACUACUCGAAAGAGUAGCUAAUACCGCAUACGAUCUAUGGAUGAAAGCGGGGGACCGUAAGGCCUCGCGCGAUUGGAGCGGCCGAUGUCAGAUUAGGUAGUUGGUGGGGUAAAGGCUCACCAAGCCAACGAUCUGUAGCUGGUCUGAGAGGACGACCAGCCACACUGGGACUGAGACACGGCCCAGACUCCUACGGGAGGCAGCAGUGGGGAAUUUUGGACAAUGGGCGCAAGCCUGAUCCAGCAAUGCCGCGCGCAGGAAGAAGGCCUUCGGGUUGUAAACUGCUUUUGUACGGAACGAAACGGCUCUGGUUAAUACCCGGGGCUAAUGACGGUACCGUAAGAAUAAGCACCGGCUAACUACGUG